Molecule: ribosomal RNA, 446 nt
Filed under: uncultured bacterium
Lineage: Bacteria
Description: partial 16S ribosomal RNA
Rfam family: Bacterial small subunit ribosomal RNA
Source: RNAcentral
GUGGGGAAUAUUGGACAAUGGGGGGAACCCUGAUCCAGCCAUGCCGCGUGGAGGAAGACUGCCCUCUGGGUUGUAAACUCCUUUUAUAUGGGAAGAACCGUCCUCAUUAAUGAGUGACCUGACGGUACCAUAGGAAUAAGCACCGGCUAACUCCGUGCCAGCAGCCGCGGUAAUACGGAGGGUGCAAGCGUUAUCCGGAUUCACUGGGUUUAAAGGGUGCGUAGGCGGAUAAAUAAGUAAGUGGUGAAAUCAACGGGCUCAACCUGUUAACUGCCAUUGAUACUGUGUAUCUUGAAUAUGAGAGAGGUAGGCGGAAUGUUGCAUGUAGCGGUGAAAUGCUUAGAUAUGCUACGGAACACCGAUUGCGAAGGCAGCUUACUAUUUCGUAAUUGACGCUGAGGCACGAAAGCGUGGGUAGCGAACAGGAUUAGAUACCCCAGUAGUCC